Molecule: ribosomal RNA, 478 nt
Filed under: uncultured bacterium
Lineage: Bacteria
Description: partial 16S ribosomal RNA
Rfam family: Bacterial small subunit ribosomal RNA
Source: RNAcentral
GACGAACGCUGGCGGCGUGCUUAACACAUGCAAGUCGAACGGUAAGGCCCUUCGGGGUACACGAGUGGCGAACGGGUGAGUAACACGUGGGUGAUCUGCCCUGCACUUCGGGAUAAGCCUGGGAAACUGGGUCUAAUACCGGAUAGGACCCUGGGAUGCAUGUCCUGGGGUGGCAAGCUUUUGCGGUGUGGGAUGGGGCCGCGGCCUAUCAGCUUGUUGGUGGGGUGAUGGCCUACCAAGGCGACGACGGGUAGCCGGCCUGCGAGGGUGCCCGGCCACACUGGGACUGAGAUACGGCCCAGACUCCUACGGGAGGCAGCAGUGGGGAAUAUUGCACAAUGGGCGCAAGCCUGAUGCAGCGACGCCGCGUGAGGGAUGACGGCCUUCGGGUUGUAAACCUCUUUCAGCACCGACGAAGCGCAAGUGACGGUAGGUGCAGAAGAAGGACCGGCCAACUACGUGCCAGCCGCCGCCGUAA